This is an RNA transcript of Cornus florida, 2069 nucleotides long. It is a transcript of the gene named putative F-box protein At5g62060, with no coding region annotated. The transcript is spliced from 3 exons. Lineage: Eukaryota; Viridiplantae; Streptophyta; Magnoliopsida; Cornales; Cornaceae. The record is from RefSeq and is a predicted model, not a curated record.
CCUAAACUGCUAAUUUCAUGGAUGAAAGAAAAAUGGACCGUGAGCUCUCAAUUCCAUUACAAAUUAUCUUGGAGAUACUCAAGGAACUUCCUGUAAAAAGUUUGCUGAGAUUCAGGUGUGUUUCAAAGCUUUGGUGUUCCACAAUUGACGAUCCCAUUUUCAUCGACACUCAUCAAACUCGUUCACAUACUCGGCCUCACGGUACGAACACCCUCGCUCUGGUUUCGGAUUCACAGUUUGAUCAGAACACAAGUUAUGAUCUCUACUCUGCAGAUCCAGAAGGAGGACCAGCCACUCACCUUCUCGCACUGCCUGAGGUGCCGUUUGAGGCAAAACGAAGCCCACGACGAGCUCUACACAUCCAUACCAUCAAUUUCAGUUUUUGUGCACCCUUUGGAUUUUGAAAUUCAAGACCUAUUUCAAGGGUUUUGUGCAAUCUUGAGGUCUUGGAAAUGAACCGGUGGACGACAAUCCACCUCAAGCUUGAAAGUUGUUAGAAGGUUGUUUGCUAUUUUGUAUUUUCUAUGUAUACUCAUAGUUGUGGAAAUGUAACUAAGUUAGUAUUCAUGGCCUUGUAACUUAAGAACGAAUUUAUCUUUUGUUUAAUGUAAAUGAAACUAAUGGAAUUGUGGUAUAUAUUUCCAUGCAAUUGUAUCAUGUAACGUUAUAAGAUAGGGACUUUAGAUCUUAACUAUGUAUUUUGGGACUGUAAUUAUGACAAGUUAGACUAAUUGGUGUGUGAAUGUUUCACCAUGAGAGGAACUAUGUUGAGGUAUAAUGAACGGAUGAAUGGGAUGCUGGAUUGUACUAUGUGUUUUGUGUAUUGGGACAGGUUGUUGAAGGACCAUUUUUAGGGGAGGUUAUGCUGAAAUUUUUUUAAAUUUUGGCAUCAGCUUGGGUUGUUACAUGCAGGGGAUGUAACUAAGAGAUUGUUGAACAUUUUGAUUGGCAUAAAUAAGUUCUAAUUAUUCUCAUUUGGAAAAUUCAAUAAAUUUGAUGCCACAAGUUUUAGUUGCAGUGUGGACUCUAUUUCAAUGCUUAGAAAACAUAGGAAAGAUUAGGAGUCUUAUGGUUGUGGCAAUGUCACAAUGGUUGGCUCUUAGAUAACUCUAGCCCUCUUUUAGUCUAUUAAAAAAUGGAGGCUAGAAUCUGUCAGAGUUUAGGUAUUCUUAGAUGCUCAGGGAGCCUUUGUGAUCAUUCUGAUGACCUAUCUUUCCUUUCUUUUGUUUUUUUUCCUUCUCUUUUGGUACUUGUUUCAGAUUUAGUGAGUACUAUUGAGUAUCUAAAAAUUUGCUGCCCAUCUACCACUGGCAAUUACUCUGACAUCACUGUAGGAUUUUGUGGAGCAUCAUCAGAUGAAAAAUAGUAUGUCUGUGCCACCAUGUGCUCCAAAUUGUUACAACUCGUGCUUAAAUAUAAAACUUAUUGCAAAUGUUUCAACUAUAAACACGCGCGCGCACAUUUUAUUUGGUACACUGUUGUUUUAUCUUUAUUUUGUAAUUAAUCUUGUAACGAAAAAUUGACUUUCGUAUCUUAUGUUAAUCAUAGCUGUCUUCUUUUAUAAAAUGAAAGAAGGUAUAGAAAUGAAUGUUGGAGUCGAAGAUAAAAUGCCAUUACCUAGUAUUGAUCCUGUAACGCAGAUACUGAGAAGGAAAGGCUAGAUGCUAUGCUUACAUAUUUCAAUGGAUUUGUCUAACUUUGUUAUUAAGAUAAGAUUGAGAAACUAGCCUGUUUGGAUCAGAGUGCAAUGAUCUGCAUUAUCAAUUCUAGUCUACAAAAGAAUUCUAUAGUUUCCAUGUCUAGCAACCUACUUUUUUAUUUGUACAAGUUCCUCUGGUUUCCAAUUUCAUCAAAAUUAAAGCGUUCAUUUAGCAGUGCUGUCCAGACUGAAGCUUGUCAUUUGAAUGAAAAGGGCAAAAAAAAUUGUUCCUGAAGCUUGAGCUUGGCUCAUUUUGUUUGUACAAAACGAAUUUUGAGUUCAAACUCUAGCUUGAGUUUGGCUCCUUUGUACUUGACAAUAAAAAAUGAACUCAUUUCUUAUCGUGCUGCAGAGACAAACUUUUUAAAAU